RNAcentral lists this long non-coding RNA (1089 nucleotides) under Oreochromis niloticus (Nile tilapia). RNAcentral's name for it is "lncRNA (ENSONIG00000025020.2)". The record is from RNAcentral. Lineage: Eukaryota; Metazoa; Chordata; Actinopteri; Cichliformes; Cichlidae.
GCGCCAUCUUGUGGCCUCUAUCUGUCACUGUAAUUCCUUCAAAGCUUUGUGGAAAAUGCUUCACCUGUAAAAGUUCCGUAGUCACCACUGACAGUUUUGUUUACCUGCAGGACGUUCAGCGGCGUCAUUCGAUGACGUCACAGGAGAGUCAGAACGCAAAAGUAGCAAGUAAACCUAUGACGUUCAUCUCUGCAUCAUUAUAUUUGGAUGUAAUUGGUGGAGAAAUAUCAGUUAACACUUCGCAGCGUUCCUCGCAGCAUUCACUUGGCUUACUCUACAUUUACAUCGUGUUUUUAAAAAGCUUGUUAAAAAGUUUUCAAACAAUUUUAAAGGACUUUGGACAGUCUGAAAGUUUUAAACCAGUCAGCUUAAAAGUUUGACAACUGUAGUUUCCUCCAGACUGUUUUCAUGGAUCAAAUGGAGAGUGGAGACGGACAGCAUAACGACCCCAUUCGAAGGGUACCAAUCCCUCAGCUGCUUCUUUUACUGGAGCAACAUGAAGAAAUCGAUGCAAUUCGCCCGAUGAUCCGCUGGCUGCAGGUUGGUCUUUCACGUGGGGUCUUGACUGAAGAAAGCCUCCUUGUUUUGAAUCAAGUGAUUCUUCAACUGCCGCAAGAUGAAAUUGACGACGAUCUUCCUAACAAUGAAGAAGAGGCUGAUGUUCUUGCAGGAGGAAUUGAAAUUAAUCCACCUCAGGAAGAAGAAGGACCCCGGGAAAAUAUUAUAGCAGGGCUCCCAGCAAGAGAAAUUGAAUUAAACCCGGCCCAGCAAGCAGUAGAUCCGAUAGUGGAAGAAAUUAGAUGGUUCUGGGAAGACGAGGGGUCUGACAGUGACAACGAAAGUGUCCCUGAAAAUGACAAUGAUGACAGUGAUGCUGAUAACAGUGACAAUGAAGACAGUGACCCUGAUGAAAGUGACCCUGAUGAAAGUGACCCUGAUAACAGUGACAAUGAAGAUUCAGACAGUGGACAGGCUGCCCCUGUGUUAUUGCCCCCCAGCCCAGUACCGGGGGGUUCCAGGAGGAGACCAAGGGAAGAGGAGGACGAUGAAGAGGAAGAUGGGAGAGACAGAAAACAUUUUAAACGCUGA